RNAcentral lists this ribosomal RNA (921 nucleotides) under uncultured Sedimentibacter sp. Its description in RNAcentral is "bacterial SSU rRNA". It matches the Rfam family "Bacterial small subunit ribosomal RNA", at positions 28 to 967 of the family's 1533-position model. The record is from RNAcentral. Lineage: Bacteria; Bacillati; Bacillota; Tissierellia.
GACGAACGCUGGCGGCGUGCCUAACACAUGCAAGUCGAACGAAGUAUAUUUUUCGGAAUAUACUUAGUGGCGGACGGGUGAGUAACGCGUGAACAAUCUGCCCUAUACAAAGGAAUAGCCUCGGGAAACUGGGAUUAAAACCAUAUGACACUUAAUUAUCGCAUGAUAGAUAAGUCAAAUUGAAUAAGAGGUAUAGGAUGAGUUCGCGUCUGAUUAGCUAGUUGGUAAGGUAAAGGCUUACCAAGGCGACGAUCAGUAGCCGGCCUGAGAGGGUGAACGGCCACACUGGAACUGAGACACGGUCCAGACUCCUACGGGAGGCAGCAGUGGGGAAUAUUGCACAAUGGGCGAAAGCCUGAUGCAGCGACGCCGCGUGAGUGAAGAAGGUCUUCGGAUCGUAAAACUCUGUCCUUGGUGACGAAAAAAUGACGGUAGCCAAGGAGGAAGCCCCGGCUAACUACGUGCCAGCAGCCGCGGUAAUACGUAGGGGGCGAGCGUUGUCCGGAUUUACUGGGCGUAAAGGGUGAGUAGGCGGUUAUAUAUGUCAGAUGUAAAAGGCACAGGCUUAACUUGUGUAAGCAUUUGAAACUGUAUAACUUGAGUGCAGGAGAGGUAAGUGGAAUUCCUAGUGUAGCGGUGAAAUGCGUAGAUAUUAGGAGGAACACCAGUGGCGAAGGCGACUUACUGGACUGUAACUGACGCUGAGUCACGAAAGCGUGGGUAGCAAACAGGAUUAGAUACCCUGGUAGUCCACGCUGUAAACGAUGAGUGCUAGGUGUUGGCUAGCGAUAGUCAGUGCCGAAGUAAACACAAUAAGCACUCCGCCUGGGGAGUACGGUCGCAAGACUGAAACUCAAAGGAAUUUGACGGGGACCCGCACAAGCAGCGGAGCAUGUGGUUUAAUUCGAAGCAACGCGAAGA